This 1000-nucleotide ribosomal RNA is filed under the name Campylobacter jejuni. RNAcentral's name for it is "bacterial LSU rRNA". It matches the Rfam family "Bacterial large subunit ribosomal RNA", at positions 1665 to 2650 of the family's 2925-position model. Lineage: Bacteria; Pseudomonadati; Campylobacterota; Epsilonproteobacteria; Campylobacterales; Campylobacteraceae. The record is from RNAcentral.
GGGUGGGAUGAGUAUUCUAAGGCGCGUGGAAGAACUCUCUUUAAGGAACUCUGCAAAAUAGCACCGUAUCUUCGGUAUAAGGUGUGGUUAGCUUUGUAUUAGGAUUUACUCCGAAAGCAAGGAAACUUACAACAAAGAGUCCCUCCCGACUGUUUACCAAAAACACAGCACUCUGCUAACUCGUAAGAGGAUGUAUAGGGUGUGACGCCUGCCCGGUGCUCGAAGGUUAAUUGAUGGGGUUAGCAUUAGCGAAGCUCUUGAUCGAAGCCCGAGUAAACGGCGGCCGUAACUAUAACGGUCCUAAGGUAGCGAAAUUCCUUGUCGGUUAAAUACCGACCUGCAUGAAUGGCGUAACGAGAUGGGAGCUGUCUCAAAGAGGGAUCCAGUGAAAUUGUAGUGGAGGUGAAAAUUCCUCCUACCCGCGGCAAGACGGAAAGACCCCGUGGACCUUUACUACAGCUUGACACUGCUACUUGGAUAAGAAUGUGCAGGAUAGGUGGGAGGCUUUGAGUAUAUGACGCCAGUUGUAUAUGAGCCAUUGUUGAGAUACCACUCUUUCUUAUUUGGGUAGCUAACCAGCUUGAGUUAUCCUCAAGUGGGACAAUGUCUGGUGGGUAGUUUGACUGGGGCGGUCGCCUCCCAAAUAAUAACGGAGGCUUACAAAGGUUGGCUCAGAACGGUUGGAAAUCGUUCGUAGAGUAUAAAGGUAUAAGCCAGCUUAACUGCAAGACAUACAAGUCAAGCAGAGACGAAAGUCGGUCUUAGUGAUCCGGUGGUUCUGUGUGGAAGGGCCAUCGCUCAAAGGAUAAAAGGUACCCCGGGGAUAACAGGCUGAUCUCCCCCAAGAGCUCACAUCGACGGGGAGGUUUGGCCCCUCGAUGUCGGCUCAUCGCAUCCUGGGGCUGGGGCAGGUCCCAAGGGUAUGGCUGUUCGCCAUUUAAAGCGGUACGCGAGCUGGGUUCAGAACGUCGUGAGACAGUUCGGUCCCUAUCUGCCGUGG